CGUUGAAUGGUGCCCCGAAGCGUUCAAAAGUGCCGGACUCGGACUCUGACUCCGUCAAUCUAGGUUCGAAUCCUAGUUCCCCAGCCA
This 87-nucleotide transfer RNA is filed under the name Allochromatium humboldtianum. Its description in RNAcentral is "tRNA-Ser". The record is from RNAcentral. RNAcentral also lists the same sequence under 1 other name. Lineage: Bacteria; Pseudomonadati; Pseudomonadota; Gammaproteobacteria; Chromatiales; Chromatiaceae.